GUGGUGGAGCUGAGAGCUCUGUGAAACACAGCCCUUGCCAGGUCACGUACUGAUGGGGCUCUGCCUGCCCUUCACCAUCUGUGUGAAUCUCACAGUUAUUGCACCCAGGCUUCUCUCCAUUUCAAGAGGGGUACAUUUGGCACUGUUCAACCAUCCUACCUGGUUACACGAGCAUCAGGUUUAUAAUGCUUCUGGUCUGCUUUGGCUCAUUUGAGUGCUAAUGCUCGGUGGAAGGAUUUAUCAGGAAAAUGCCGUACCAAAGCUGGGCUGGAGACCUCUGUGUGCCACUGGAAAACAGAUGGCAAAUAACACCUUAAGACGUGAACCUGCAUCCACUGGCUUGUGGUUGUGAUCCAGCACCUGGUGGGACAGAGGUGUCUUAGGUGAGCUCUCUCCAUCCCAGCCCUGCUGGGAGACUGACUGCUGAACCACCUCAAUGUAUCUGCUGUACAUUUUCUGUUAAAAAAUACCAGCUUCUUAAGUGUUUCCUGAAGUUGGGCCCCUGUGGUAAUGUAACUUCUUCAGCAUAUUAUGUUCCUCCAGACAAUCAUACCCCUUUGCUUGAGGAGUCAGAGGAACAAUUAGAUUUUGGCCUCAGAGAGAAAUCCUCUAACUUGAACAAGUGGGAAUUUGAAAGGACCUCAUGAGGCCUGGAUUCACAGAGCCAGCCAGUGAAGUGGGAACUCCUAGAAGAGCCUGGAAAUCCUGGCCUGCCUGUGGGAAAUGGGAUGGGAUGGAGAUUUUAUGUGUUACAGACCUCCAGAGUGUGCAGCACUGUGCUGACAGGAGGUCCCACCAAGUGUGCAAGAAAACCGCAGUGCUCAAGGAGAGAAUUAACUUGUAGCUAUCAGACAGCUCGUGUCCUGAAGCGGAAAUUACAGCCAUUUAUGUGAUUUCAGGCUAAUUUCUGCCAGUACUUGUUCUGCUAAGUACUGCUACUACCCUGAGCAGCUCCGAGGAAGGCUUCUUUAAUCAGUGCUAAUGUAAGGUGUAGUACAGCUUCAGUGGGUGUGCCACGUGUAAAUCAGGUCCUGAAAUGUGUGAAGAACUGCUUUAGGAACCAAACCACUCAUCUGCGACGUGAAGAGCAACACGUGAAGAGCAACCCAAUGUGUGCACCUCAGAAUCAGGCCCCUCAGUGAGCCCCAGGACCAGCUCUGCUGUGGCACAGCCUGCGCCUCUGUGACCCACCUGUAGCCGGUCCACCACCAUCCCUGCAGAAACCUGCAGUGAAUUCCUUGCAGAGCUGCCAAGGAGGGGCUGGGAAAUUAGCAUCAAGGUAUUUUCUGACUGUUUGCUUGAAAAGAUGCUGUGUCUCUGAUUAUUAGUUUGAAAUUCACUGGUAGCAGCUGUAACCAGUGUACUUUGCACGGUGAAACCCUGCAGUCUGUCACCACGAUCACAUCUCUCCACCUUCACUUGCAAGUAAAGCACUAGAUCAGGGGUGUGCAGAGGGAACUGGAGUGAGCAUGGCAUCUACGGGGCUGCUGGUAGCAGGUAGGAGCGAGCAGGCCUUGAAGGAACCCGGUGCUGCCCCGGCAGCACCUCUGUGCAGCACCUGUGUGCUCCCCCAUCUGGGCAGGGGCUGAAGGACAAAGUCUGGGAAACACCAAGCAUGCAGAUGAAGUAUAAACAUGGAGAUAAACACUUAGUUGUAAUCAGGAUGUAAAUACCCAAGCCAAUAAACUGCAACUCGUGCAAUUAAUUUUACUCUCUGAGGCAGUCUCCAUCACUUGUCAGGACUUGCGUGAUAUGGCUGAGCUUUUGCAUAGCUGCUUGCAGGACAGAGCCUUCGUUUCUGAACUGCCUGUGUUUUGCAUGUGGCAGAUGGUGGAGGCUCGUGAAGCGUAAUUGUGGAGCAUUGAUGCUCUAGCUCUCCUGCAGGGAGCAUCGUAUCCUGAUGGGCAACUCAGGAACACCAGGAUCCUACAGGAAAGAGGCUUCUUUUGAAGAUCUCCAUCGUAUGAUUUAUGAUAUAUAAUGCUUGCAUUUCUGUACAGUGUGAUUCCACUCUAGAGGUUUGCUGUUGUUGGUGCUCAAAUUUGUUUUUGUUUAGUACGUCACAAGACUUGGAGAAAUGCUGUUUUGGCAAAAUAUGUUGAAGACUAUGUAAACACUACACAAGCUUUCUAUGUACUCCAUGUGUCUUCUUCAGUAUAUUUAAAUGAUCCAGCCAUGCAGUUACAGCACACCUAUUAAUACAAGUUAAUACAAAGGCAUAAUUAUUUUAUGGGAGCACUUAAGUUAUAUUUUUAUAAAGAGAACAAGAGGAUCCCCUGAGACACUGUUGUACAAAUAAUGAAGGACAGAAGCUCAAUUAGUGAAUGAACAGAAAGGAAAAGUGAGGCAUGAAUAAUGUAAAAUAGAGCAUAACUCAGCAGGCAUAUUAGUUUGUAUAAUAUACUGCUUCUUAUACAUUAAAAGGCUGCAUUGAGGAAUGAAGUACCUGCUUUUCCUAUGGCAGUUUUCUAAACUGGCAUUGUCAGAAUAUUUUCUUUUGCAGUUUUCUGACUUGAGACAAGAAAAGUCGAUUCCUUAAUUCUAAAUUGAUGGAGGUGUCACUUUGAUACUUCCAUUUACUUUUUUCAUUAUAGAAAGAGCAGAAAUUGUCCAGAAUUAUUUCUUCAUUUCACGUUCCCCUGAGACUCCAACAACAACAAGAAAUGAUAUUUUUUGUCCAUAUAAUUUUAGAUUAUUAUUUUUCAGGUGGCAAUAUAUAGAAGCAUGAGCCUCAGUGGUUGACCAGAAAGUAAAGAAACCAAGAACUGAGCCUACAGAAAUAAACCUAAUCCCUAUCCUUUUUUCCUUAGAAGCCAACAGCGUGUUUCCAACAAGGUGAGAGUGGAUAACAAAAUGCUGCACUAUGGCCCGUGCCUGCAGAGCCCUUUGGUAUUGUGACUUCUGAAGCCCUUUAUGCCUUUGCUAGAACAAAGCUGUGGUUUCCUUUCUGAUCUCCUGAGAGAGCCUAAGGGCUAGCAGGGCUGUUUGCAACGUGUGCAAUACAGGCUUUGCACUGAGUUCAGAGACUUGAGAGACUGAUUUCAUACAGCUUCACGGGCUUUAAUCCUGCUGUCGUGGUAGUUCUCUCUCGGGGACUGCCGAGUGUCCGUACUGGCCAGUGGUCCCACUGGGAAAGUGCAUCUGUGCAGAGUUCAGUGAAUAACCCCCGGGAAAUGGUGCCCAAGAAGAAAGGAAAUUAUCAUCACGUGUGUCAUUCCCAUCAAAAGUGCUUCUCACUUAGCUGGUUCAAAGUGAUUGUUGCUGGUAACCUUCUUCUGUCAAUCACUGUUCCCAUGUAUGUCUUUAGGGCUUAGUGAUGAAACUACUUUGAAGCAAGUGCGAAAAUAUAUAUUUUGCAAAUUAAAUGACUAUUCUCCAGCUAAAACAGAAAACUGAGGAAGAGGCUGACUUGGGCAGAAGCAGGGUUUGUAAAGGAGCUUUUCCAGGAUGGGUUUGGAGGGGUCAGCACCAGAUCAUGGCUGGGGGAAAGGUGUGGGGCAAUGGGAUUCAGCUAAAUUCAGUAGAGUUUGGCUAUAACCUCAGCCAUGGGAAGAGAAAAGAUAUCUUCAGAGCAAAGGUUGUCUUUUUAAAGCAUGUUGGAACAACACGAGUCUGACCUCCUCUGAAAGAGCCGUUUGCUUCUCAGUUACUUUUAUGUUCUUACAAGGAACUGGAGAUUAUGGAAUUCUUUUCACCCCUUAAGUCAUUAUUGUUUUGCUAAAUAUGUCAGAGCUUGAGUUGCCUUUUUUCUUUUCUUUUCUUUUCUUUUCCUUUUUUUUUUUUUUUUUUUUCUUUUCCCUCUCACCAAAAAUUGACAUUGCCCCUGCUGCAGAGAUGCUUCAAGUCAGGGUUUGGAAUAGGCUUAUUUUGCCUAGGGUUGGUAAACAAUUCUAGCAUUUUUAUCAGUAUUUUGCCAACGUUGCUGUUGGGUUUGCAGGCACAAAAACACAGCCCUGUUCUCUUUUUGAACAAUAACUAUGCUGGCUCCCUGUGCGGGCAAACCCAGAAAGCAGUCUUGAAACUUCCUUUCAAAACAUUAUAUACUGCCUGUCUGAAGUCAGCACGCAGAAGGAAAGCAACAGAAGUAGCCUUGUUUCGUUUAAUAGUGUGAGAGCCUCACAAUGUUUUUCAGUUUAUAUUAUUCUAGAGAUAAGAAUCUUUAAAUACUGAAGAAGCAUACAGUGUACAAGCAUUGUAUUGACAUUUUUCUAUGCUAUCAUAACCAUGGAUUCAUCUGCUUGUCCUUAUGUUAGCAAUUUAAUUUUAAUCCAGGGCAAUAAUGAAAAAUUGCAUUACUGGGGAAAAACAAACUCUCCAUAGCCUGCACUACUGAUAUUUUUAGGGAAGCAAAUUGCAUUUUCUGUUGAAAAUAACAGACUAUCUUUAGGUCUUCUGUGAACAUCUAUGAGCAAGAAAAAUAGGUUUGCUAAUGUAUUAUCAGCCAGAGGAAAAUAGAUGGUUUGUAGCUCUUGUGUCUCAGGGUGGAUCUAGACUGGUCUGCGCCCUUGGCACCCUUCCCUUGCAAUUUGCCACGAGGAAAGCUGCUCGAGGUCCUCGAGCGUGCAGGGCAGCCUGCAUGUCUGCGGAGCAGGGUGUAGUGUAGGAAGGGAAAGAGCAUCUGGGAGAAGUGGCUGGGAAAUUUGUACCAAGCAGUGCUCCAUGUCCCCGCAGGAGACCUGGCUUCUCCUGGGUGUCUGGUGCGGAGGCCCUGGAGCAGUGGGUCCUCCCUGGCCCCACAGCCCUCUGAGGAGUGGGGACACAAUCUGGAGGCUCUUCAGGCAUGGUAGUCACUGUCAUAAUGCAACUGGAGCCACAGACAUGUUGAAAAUUGGGAACAAUCCAAAAUCUAAAGAUACUCAGAUCGGAGAGCAGAUCUGAGUAAGUGCUCAAGAGUGUUUGAAGAGCAGAAUAAUUUGGAUUCCAUUUUUUAUAAUUUCAUCUCUCUACAUAUACACUACUCAAAAACCCUACAAAAUGGAAUGUGGAAUCAGAUUUCUUUCCCCUGGUUUAUUUUUUUUUCUAAACUCUUGAAAAGAAUCUUCUAUUACAAUUUUGAGGUUUAUUUAAAAAAAUAAAAUCCUAGGGGAAAUGUGUACUCUUCUUUAUUAAACUACGUAGGACAUAUUCCUGAGAGUUGCUCACACUCCUCCCACACACACCUUCCCACAUGUGAGAUAAAUUAAGAAUGUCACUAUCUUUAAUGCCAGAAGUAUUUUCAUCUUCCACUGCAAAUAUGCAGUGAUGCAUCUAGAAUAGUACUGUCGGGGGAAGAAAUCUUCACAUGAGCAGAAUGUAGCUGUUAGUGUUCCCUUUCUACAUACACUUAGUGUUUUAUCCACAGGGGAUAUUUCUUGUCAGUAGGAUCGUGUUGGUUGCAGGUAAACAGAGGUGGAAAGCUCUUGUUUCGUUGUAUCAAAAACAUUUUGAGUCCUGGCUGGUGAUCAGUCCCUGGCCACCCUUGUGUGGUGCGGAGUGUUGCAGAGCUGCAUCAGGUGCUGAGCGAGGGGCAUUGUGCUUGCUAUAGGUGGCAGGUGCUGGGAAUCCAUCCGGUAUGAGAGCAUUGCCUUCACCUCCCGGCUCCGUGCCAAGCUGCUGGUGCAGCGGGGCAGCAGAAGGCGGCGGAGACUUGGGAGCUAAUCUAGUGUCUGCGCUCCUGCCUCCGUGACUAAUUGCUUGGAAAUCUGCACGUGUAAUAGCUCGCACUUUUCUUAAUACCACUCACUAGGCUAGCAUUUAAAAAGGAUGUAUUUUCUUGUCAUUAAAAGUGCUAGAUGCAAAUGGAGAAGCAGAUAGCUAUACCCUGCUUAAUAAUUAAAAUAGUGCCACAAAAUUCGGAGUCAGGCUCCAGAGAGUGACUGAUCCCAUGUCCAAGGCACAGCACAGGAGCCAGAAAUGCACCCACUGCACUGCUCCUCUGUGGGAACGUACAAAUUAGAAAUUUCAAGGGCUGUUGAACACUGUGAAUUUCCACCGUGGAUCAGCACAAAGUUAUUUGGCACAGGAGAUUCUGUAACUGUGAUACAUUGGGGAAGUUCAUAUUGUGCAAUGGCCCUAAAACUCACCCUUCCUCCUCUGGUAUGCAGAGACCUGGUGCUAAGACGUAUUUAAUAUAAAGCAGGUAGGAUACUCGCUGACUGGAGCAGUUUUUUUUGUCUCUUGUUGCCUUUUCAUUAUUCAUCUUAGGAUCAUCUCCUUUGCUAUUUAUAUUCAGCAUAAAUAAUAAUUAUACCAGAGGACAGAGGUGUGAUGGUGUGAAUGUGAAGAAAAACUUCAUGUCCCUGAUGAGAACACAGCCACAAAGCUAGCUGGGACCUGUGAGGCGCCUUUAGUCUGGGAAACGUGGUCCAUGGCAAAUGCUUGUUGGAGAGCAGGAAGGCAUUAACAUGCGAGUGUUACUCCUAAGUGGCCAGAAUACGGUGAUUAAAGCGCUCUUGCUGUGUGAUCUUGGGCCUCUUGCCCUUUCUAUUCCUUAAUUAAUUUCCUCUUUCAUUUAUGUAUUAAUAAAAACAAAUCACCUGCUUCAUGGGAGGUGAGAGGUUUUAUUCAUUUAUGUUUGCAAACAGCUUUGAGAUCUGAGGAAGGGAGGAAGAGGCUACAGAAGUCUGAAGCGUGUAUGUAGUGCAUGAAUGAUAUAUGACAAGGUUUUAUUCCUUGUCAGUCUGAUAAUUUGGCAUACUUGUAAAGCUUUUUCCUUUUCUGCUAAGUUUCUUCUUCUGACUCUGUCAAAUAAAGCACAACCUUUGCCU
Long non-coding RNA from Anas platyrhynchos (mallard), 6746 nucleotides. RefSeq lists it as uncharacterized. Lineage: Eukaryota; Metazoa; Chordata; Aves; Anseriformes; Anatidae. The record is from RefSeq and is a predicted model, not a curated record.